Long non-coding RNA from Ailuropoda melanoleuca (giant panda), 708 nucleotides. RefSeq lists it as uncharacterized. The transcript is spliced from 3 exons. NCBI's taxonomy places the organism in Eukaryota, Metazoa, Chordata, Mammalia, Carnivora, Ursidae. The record is from RefSeq and is a predicted model, not a curated record.
CGCAGGACGGAAGUGCGUCACGCGGGGCCCGCCCCGGCGCCCGGCUCUGGCGGUCCAGCCGGAGCCGCCAGCAGCGCCCCGACUGCAGGGGGGACCGCCGGCUGAGUUCUGGGUCACCCCGAAGCCGCUGGGCUGUGCUGGAGCCCACCUGGCCUGACCGCUCGCUCGGCCCCGUCCCCCAGCCGCGCUCAGGCCUCACCACUAGCUGACCUGGCGCUAGCACAUCCUCUUUUGGCCACACCCUGAAGAUCGAGAAGUGUUCUUCCACCCUAGGAGUUUCUCUGCAAAAGACUAUGAUGCCAGAGGUGCAGCAGCCAUAGUUCAGUGCUGAAGCAACAAACAGAACAGAGGCCUUCGUUCCAAGGAUGGCAGAGGAGAACAAUUGAAAGAGGCUAGAUCCUUUAUGGCAUCAUUGUGCAACCAUAUUAGGAUGCGGAGAUCUAGCCGGAUUGAGGAAUUUGCCCAAUAUCACAGAGCUAGUAAAUGGCAACACUGGGAUCUGAACACUAGCAUCAAGCUCUUCAACACCCUGCUGUAUGUGUCUCUUCAGCUGGUAGGAGUCCUAAUAUCAUAUCUAACAGCCCCGAUCCCUGGCAGACAACUUACACAGGUCCUAAUAUUACCAGAGCAUUGCCGUGCCUUUUUAAAAUUUGCUUUUCCUGCAGAGACACAAUCUCUCACUAUUAGUAUUAUUUUAUUAGAAACAGA